RNAcentral lists this ribosomal RNA (490 nucleotides) under uncultured bacterium. RNAcentral describes it as "partial 16S ribosomal RNA". It matches the Rfam family "Bacterial small subunit ribosomal RNA", at positions 30 to 507 of the family's 1533-position model. The record is from RNAcentral.
AUUGAACGCUGGCGGCAGGCCUAACACAUGCAAGUCGAACGGUAACAGGAAGAAGCUUGCUUCUUUGCUGACGAGUGGCGGACGGGUGAGUAAUGUCUGGGAAACUGCCUGAUGGAGGGGGAUAACUACUGGAAACGGUAGCUAAUACCGCAUAACGUCGCAAGACCAAAGAGGGGGACCUUCGGGCCUCUUGCCAUCGGAUGUGCCCAGAUGGGAUUAGCUAGUAGGUGGGGUAACGGCUCACCUAGGCGACGAUCCCUAGCUGGUCUGAGAGGAUGACCAGCCACACUGGAACUGAGACACGGUCCAGACUCCUACGGGAGGCAACAGUGGGGAAUAUUGCACAAUGGGCGCAAGCCUGAUGCAGCCAUGCCGAGUGUAUGAAGAAGGCCUUCGGGUUGUAAAGUACUUUCAGCGGGGAGGAAGGGAGUAAAGUUAAUACCUUGACUCAUUGACGUUACCCGCAGAAGAAGCACCGGCUAACUCCGUG